GCAUGCUCACAUAGUGUAAAGAAUUUAUCUGAAUGUAAAGGACAAAUGCUUAUUAAAAGGGAAGAUUUUAGAAAAGAAAGCAUAUAAAGAGCAAGAAAAAUAUUUUUCUGUGAAGACGCAGAUUUUGUAUUCAUCCUGUCAUCUCUGUAAAGCUGAAAUUUACACUGAUAUUACAACUAGCCAAAAGAAUGUGAUUUAGGUCUAUAUGCACUGCAGUUCCAAAAAGCCACUGCAGAAAUUAUCCAUGUUCUUUUAUGAAAAAGCUGGAAGAUAACUGGAACAUGAUGUUUUCAGUUUGCUCUUCAGGAAAAUGAGGUUGGAUCAUUCUUCCAUACUUAAGCUACAUCACUGUAUUGUUCUAGAUCUGGCUGGUGUGUAAAGCAAUCUGGAGGCAGUUGAGGGUGGCUACUUGUUGUAUUUAUGUGUCAG
Molecule: long non-coding RNA, 429 nt
Organism: Varanus komodoensis (Komodo dragon)
Lineage: Eukaryota; Metazoa; Chordata; Lepidosauria; Squamata; Varanidae
Exons: 4
Source: RefSeq, a predicted model, not a curated record